RNAcentral lists this non-coding RNA (123 nucleotides) under Parapedobacter composti. The record is from RNAcentral. Lineage: Bacteria; Pseudomonadati; Bacteroidota; Sphingobacteriia; Sphingobacteriales; Sphingobacteriaceae.
UCCAUCGCGAGGUGAAAUCUGAAGGAAGCCGGCGGCAAAAAACCGGCCUGACGGACAGAAACUGCAUAUGAGGCGAAAAUGGGCGGGACGUAUUUCCAGUUCGUGGUAAGGAUGCGCGAUGAC